CACACGACUCUCGGCAACGGAUAUCUCGGCUCUCGCAUCGAUGAAGAACGUAGCAAAAUGCGAUACCUGGUGUGAAUUGCAGAAUCCCGCGAACCAUCGAGUUUUUGAACGCAAGUUGCGCCCGAGGCCUUUUGGCCGAGGGCACGCCUGCCUGGGCGUCACGC
RNAcentral lists this ribosomal RNA (164 nucleotides) under Tenaxia dura. RNAcentral's name for it is "5.8S ribosomal RNA". It matches the Rfam family "5.8S ribosomal RNA". From Rfam's summary of the family: 5.8S ribosomal RNA (5.8S rRNA) is a component of the large subunit of the eukaryotic ribosome. It is transcribed by RNA polymerase I as part of the 45S precursor that also contains 18S and 28S rRNA. Functionally, it is thought that 5.8S rRNA may be involved in ribosome translocation. The record is from RNAcentral. Lineage: Eukaryota; Viridiplantae; Streptophyta; Magnoliopsida; Poales; Poaceae.